UGGACCUUAAUAGUUACUGAUUCAGUUUGGAAUUAGGUUUCUUGCAGAUAUUCAAUAGAAUCGAACACUGAUAGUCAAUCUUAUUAGAUUUAAGACAUAUUAAAACAGGUUCUCGUAAUAUUUUGUUUGUUGAGAUUGUUGAUGGUGUUUUGCAUAUUCUUGUUCAUAAAGACUUUUAAAGAUUUUAACCUUUUCAUUGUCAGGUUCUUGUGAUAAAUCUUUUCAGUUUUCAGGUUUCGGAGCUAUAUAUAACAGGUUCUACAACAUUUCGUCAUUCAAGCAAAGAAACUGUUAGUUAAAUGGAAGGUAAAGGACUCAUAUGCGGCCUCCCCGCUAAGAACGUUGUACCAAAAUUCAGACAACAAAUACAACAACAAGCAAAGAACGAUCAACAAACCGAUGCGGAUGAUGAACUGAAGGAGAUAACAAAGAUAGACUUUAGACGGGCUUGUGCUCACCGAGGGUACUUAAUACGCAUCGAAGAAGACAUUGAUACACGCAUGGAACUAGAGGAAGAAGACAUUGAGGCAAUAAGAAAGCUAUGUGCGAGGAACAACACUGAUAAGAAACGUCCAAGAGAGGAGAAAGGAGAGUCCUCAUACUGCAAGACUGGUUGAAUAAUAAUGGCAUGGUAACAACUCUUAGAGUUCAUGUUUUUGUAAUUAAUGUUUAGUUAGUUCAUGUUAUCUUUAAACUUUGUUAAGUUAACUUUAUGUAAUAUGAUAUUUUAUGAUUCAUGGUCUUUCAUAAAUAAAAGCUAAUUACAUUUUGUGCAA
Molecule: long non-coding RNA, 776 nt
Organism: Arabidopsis lyrata subsp. lyrata
Lineage: Eukaryota; Viridiplantae; Streptophyta; Magnoliopsida; Brassicales; Brassicaceae
Exons: 2
Source: RefSeq, a predicted model, not a curated record